CUACGGGGGGCUGCAGUCGAGAAUCUUCGGCAAUGGACGAAAGUCUGACCGAGCGACGCCGCGUGCGGGAUGAAGGCCUUCGGGUUGUAAACCGCUGUCAGUUGGGAGGAAAUCACAUGGGGUUCUCUCCAUGUGUUGACCUAUCUUCAGAGGAAGGACGGGCUAAGUUCGUGCCAGCAGCCGCGGUAAGACGAACCGUCCAAACGUUAUUCGGAAUCACUGGGCUUAAAGGGUGCGGAGGCGGCCUUGUAAGUUGGGUGUGAAAUCCCUCGGCUCAACCGAGGAAUUGCGCCCAAUACUGCAGGGCUAGAGGGAGACAGAGGUGAGCGGAACUUGUGGUGGAGCGGUGAAAUGCGUUGAUAUCACAAGGAACACCUGUGGCGAAAGCGGCUCACUGGGUCUCUUCUGACGCUGAGGCACGAAAGCUGGGGGAGCGAACGGGAUUAGAUACCCGAGUAGUC
RNAcentral lists this ribosomal RNA (461 nucleotides) under uncultured bacterium. RNAcentral describes it as "partial 16S ribosomal RNA". It matches the Rfam family "Bacterial small subunit ribosomal RNA", at positions 339 to 795 of the family's 1533-position model. The record is from RNAcentral.